UCUAACACGACGACACUGAGUGACUUGGGACAGCCCCCAGAUGUAGAUCUGACAAGGCCGUCACUUGGCAAUGACCCCACUAGGCCUUUCAGGCACCAGGCUGGCUGUACAGUUUUUUGGAAGGGAAAAGCAGCUGUCUUUCUUUCCAGGAGUGGUUCUGCACCUAUUCAGACUGACAGAUGAGCAGAGCUCCAGUUGGGUCCAAGUUCUGUCAGGGGCCCAGAGUGAACUGGGAGGCCCUCCCUCCUGAAGAAUCUGACAAGGCACCAGCUUCCUGGAAUGUCCCCUCCCUGUUCUGCUUCAGCUGAAAACAGACUCUGGAAGAGAAGCUGAUGGGCAUACUUUCACGACCCCGAUCCUGGUAAUCUCUACACCUGAUGUGAGUCUCAAACUCAACCCUGAGAUGAAGAGUCACACACUCCACCAACUGAGCCAGCCAGCGAUCCCCUGAAUCUUCCUUUCUGGAGUGCAAGAAAGACAACCAUCUAUCUUUUCCACCAAGAUAAACAUACAAAGACGUGCUUCAACACUGUCCUUAAUCCCUUCAGAGUUGAUUUCAUGUGAGUGGUGUUAAAUGGGCGUCCUGUUCCAUUUUUAAUCCAUAUGUCUGUUUUUCUAGUUCCAGCUACUGAAUAGUUCCUCUUCCCUCCCCUCCACUAGUAUGGCAUAACUAUUAAUAUUGUAUUUCACACCGAAUCUUCAUAGGAAGAAAACAUUUUUCACUCAUAGUCCUAAUAAAAUAUUAUGUUGACAUAG
Suricata suricatta (meerkat) is the source of this 756-nucleotide long non-coding RNA. RefSeq lists it as uncharacterized. The transcript has 3 exons. NCBI's taxonomy places the organism in Eukaryota, Metazoa, Chordata, Mammalia, Carnivora, Herpestidae. The record is from RefSeq and is a predicted model, not a curated record.